UAUUAGGUAACUUAAAAAAAGUGUUGGUUUUUUAAACCAAAAAUGAUAAAUAUCCCUAAUGC
This 62-nucleotide transfer RNA is filed under the name Celleporella hyalina. RNAcentral describes it as "tRNA-Lys". Lineage: Eukaryota; Metazoa; Bryozoa; Gymnolaemata; Cheilostomatida; Hippothoidae. The record is from RNAcentral.